AUCCAGCUGAUGAGUUUUAAAUAGGACGAAACACAUUUCAUGGAU
Molecule: non-coding RNA, 45 nt
Filed under: Schistosoma haematobium
Lineage: Eukaryota; Metazoa; Platyhelminthes; Trematoda; Strigeidida; Schistosomatidae
Source: RNAcentral